CAAUAGCGAUUCUCAUAAUUCUUUCUCUCUUUUCAUUCAAUUUUCUCUCUCCUCCUGCAAAUCCUCUCUACUAUUGCGCUUCAUCUUCUUCAACUUCGUUGUUUCUCGUUGUUCUUGCAAAUAUCUUUACAUUUUUUUGCGACUCUCUUCCAAUUAUUUUUCCAGGGACAAAAAUUAGAUGUUAUCAAGCUAUACCCAGAACCAGAGUCAGUUUAUUGUGCCUCAUGUUUGAGAAAAACUAGUUGCAAAAUUGUCCAUACAUGUACAAAGAGUCUUCCUUUUAACUGGACAUGUGCAAGUGACAACGAAAGGUGUAGGAACUCUUGGAGAAUUGAAAUUCACUGAUAAUUCAAGCUGGAUAAGAAGUAGACAGUUCAGAUUAGGUCUGAAGGUUGUCUCAGGUUAUGGUGAAGGUGUUCGUAUUCAUAAAGAAAAAACAGAAGCUUUCACCGUCAAGGAUCACGGAGGGGGAUGCUAGAGUGAGCAUCUUUGGUAAAAGCAGGCGAGUAGUGAGCAUUUCCAUAUCUUUGAGCCUUCUGACACUAAGGACACACAGAAGAAUGACAAGGAUCAUUCUGGUUAUAUAUUCUUCAGGUUGGAUAAUAGGCUUCACUGAACUUUUCUUGCCGUCUCCUCCAGUUAUGGAGUUUUUGUUUUACUUUUAUUCAUUCUAUUUAAAACACUAGCCUACUAGCUCAAUUGGUAGAGCAUUAUGCAAAAGCACAAAAGAUGUGGGUUCGAAUCCCACGUGGGUUUGUUUACUUUUGAGUUUCCUUUAUUUACUUUUGAGUCUAUAUAUAUUGUUUACUUUUGAGUUUA
This is a long non-coding RNA of Spinacia oleracea (spinach), 819 nucleotides long. RefSeq lists it as uncharacterized. The transcript is spliced from 3 exons. The record is from RefSeq and is a predicted model, not a curated record. Lineage: Eukaryota; Viridiplantae; Streptophyta; Magnoliopsida; Caryophyllales; Amaranthaceae.